This 1350-nucleotide ribosomal RNA is filed under the name uncultured bacterium. Its description in RNAcentral is "bacterial SSU rRNA". It matches the Rfam family "Bacterial small subunit ribosomal RNA", at positions 28 to 1381 of the family's 1533-position model. The record is from RNAcentral.
GAUGAACGCUGGCGGCGUGCUUAACACAUGCAAGUCGAACGGAGUUUAUGUAGAAUGAGUCUUCGGACAAAUGAGAUAUAAACUUAGUGGCGGACGGGUGAGUAACGUGUGGGUAACCUACCCUAUACAGGAGGAUAACAGUAAGAAAUUAUUGCUAAAACUGCAUAAGAUUACGAGUUCGCAUGAACAAGUGAUAAAAACUUUAGUGGUAUAGGAUGGGCCCGCAUCUGAUUAGGUAGUUGGUGGAGUAAAGCCUACCAAGCCGACGAUCAGUAGCCGAUCUGAGAGGAUGACCGGCCACAUUGGGACUGAGACACGGCCCAAACUCCUACGGGAGGCAGCAGUGGGGAAUAUUGGACAAUGGGGGGAACCCUGAUCCAGCGACGCCGCGUGAGUGAAGAAGUAUUUCGGUAUGUAAGGCUCUAUCAGCAGGGAAGAAAAUGACGGUACCUGACUAAGAAGCCCCGGCUAACUACGUGCCAGCAGCCGCGGUAAUACGUAGGGGGCAAGCGUUAUCCGGAUUUACUGGGUGUAAAGGGAGCGUAGACGGCGAUGUAAGUCUGAAGUGAAAGCCCACGGCUCAACUGUGGGACUGCUUUGGAAACUAUGUAGCUAGAGUAUCGGAGGGGCAAGCGGAAUUCCUAGUGUAGCGGUGAAAUGCGUAGAUAUUAGGAGGAACACCGGAGGCGAAGGCGGCUUGCUGGACGAAGACUGACGUUGAGGCUCGAAGGCGUGGGGAGCAAACAGGAUUAGAUGCCCUGGUAGUCCACGCAGUAAACGAUGAAUACUAGAUGUCGGAGAGGUUACUUUUCGGUGUCGUCGCAAACGCAAUAAGUAUUCCACCUGGGGAGUACGUUCGCAAGAAUGAAACUCAAAGGAAUUGACGGGGACCCGCACAAGCGGUGGAGCAUGUGGUUUAAUUCGAAGCAACGCGAAGAACCUUACCAAGUCUUGACAUACCCUUGAAUAGUGAGUAAAGUUACUAGCCCUUCGGGGCAAGGGAUACAGGUGGUGCAUGGUUGUCGUCAGCUCGUGUCGUGAGAUGUUGGGUUAAGUCCCGCAACGAGCGCAACCCUUGUUCUUAGUAGCCAGCAGUAAGAUGGGAACUCUAAGAAGACUGCCAUGGAUAACAUGGAGGAAGGUGGGGAUGACGUCAAAUCAUCAUGCCCCUUAUGAUUUGGGCUACACACGUGCUACAAUGGCGUAAACAGAGGGAGGCGAAGGAGAGAUCCGGAGCAAAUCCCAAAAAUAACGUCUCAGUUCGGAUUGUAGGCUGCAACUCGCCUACAUGAAGCUGGAAUCGCUAGUAAUCGCAAAUCAGAAUGUUGCGGUGAAUACGUUCCCGGGUCU